CUUGCAGAAAGUGGACUGAUGGCUAUAAUUCUCCCCAAAUUAAAUCACAAUAUGAAUACAGACCCCAGCAAAUGGCGAGUUUAACUCUGAACUCAGUAGAAACCAGUUCUGUCCACCAGGAUUCAUUGAAUUCCUCCUUUCCCUCAAUCUAGUCCGUGUGUGUUUUUCUCUUCCACCACACUGGAGCUCCAUGAAUAGGGAAAGGGGCUUCCAUUGUGUCCCUCUGAACUUCCAAGUCAAUGCAAUUUUUAACCACUGGCUUGUGGUACUUUGAAAAUCACCAGGGGCUGUCAGAGUUGGGUCCUCUGAAAAAUUUACAGUGCUAAAUCAGAGCAUAUGCUGGGAGGGAAAAAAUUGCUUAAGACUGGAGCAAGUACAGUAUCUGUCUGCCCCCUAGUGUAAGAGUCCUCGCUGCCUAAAAUUCAACUUUAAAAGAAAAGGAGCUCUUAAAGGGAAACGACUUUGAGCUCACGUAGGCAUAGGAGAAUGAAACUUCUGUACAUUUUAAUCUGAAUAAUUCUUCAGGAUUUAAAAUUAAUUGGCUCUAGCUUGGUUGGACCGGACUCGGAUCUCGCCACCUCUGCGUUUCCCGAGUCACUGGCGGAGAGGUGAUGGUUUUUUUUUUUUUUUUUUUCCUUGAACUGGGUUUAUGUGCGUCCCCCUCACCCCCUCCUCUCUUUUUCUUUCUCUGUCUCUGUCGUCUCUCUCGCUGGCUUUUUAAAAAUGAGGAACCGUUCCUUGAACGUUCUGGACAGAGCACAGAAUUGCUUCUUAAGUCAGCCCGACGCGGUUGCAAUAGACAGCAAAAAGGUAAACGUUUGCCUGAAAUCCGCACGCCAGCUCCACCACCCCGCCCGAUGGUGCCUGAGUGUAGAGAAAAGCGGAUAGAAAAGCCUGGUUGCUGUUUGCCCUAAAGCUUCAUCAGAUGGGGAACUGAAUGUUUUCUUCCAGACAUCCCCAAUCAGAACUUAUAAGUGAUCGGGCAUCACUGAUCUCAAGCAUGCAGGAGAUAUCAGGAUUUUAAUUUCGACUCCGAGUCCUUGCCAUUGCCAACGAUGAAGUCUACUACUCCUAAUCAUCGAAAAUGCUGUUGUCUGGUGAGCAGAGCCUAGGUUCAAAUCCUUGCUUUCUGCCACACUAAUUGUGUGUCUUGGGUAUGCUGCUUGGCAUCUCUAAACCCCAGUUUUCUCAUCUGUAUCCUGAGGUGUCUAAUAUCUUCUUCGUUGUGAUGCUGUGUGGACAACACCAAAAAAGAUGUGUGAAGCACUCAGCACACCAUAAGAUCUGUUGAAUGAAUGGAUGCAGGUAUCACACUGUAUGAUACGUAGUAGUCACUCAAUAAAAUCUUCCGCUUCCUCCUUUUUCCUCUCUUCUUCCCCACCACAGUCUCGUAAGUUAAUGCUCAUGCAAGCCUAUGUUUAUUAAGAAAAAUACUACCUUUAAAGAAAAUAACUUGAUUAAAUAGCAUUCUAUGAAUGACAAAUGACCACACAUUUAACAGAACACAUUUAAAGCUAUGCUCAUCCUUUGAUUGUUGUUAUAGAGAAGAUAAGAAUGAACUAUUUAAAAGGAAAAUGAAAAAAUAAAAAAAUAAGGAACCAAAUUAGACAUUCAGUCAAGUCUGAUUAAUGGCUACUUCCAAUGGAGAUUUUAGCUGAGUUUAGGAUCCUUGCAUCUCUGACUGUUAAUGUACCGUGGUUAGAGGUGACCAUUUUAAGAAGUCGAAUGCAUAAUUCAUUCAAAGUGCACAGAGAUUUUCUUUCUCAGUUUGGAAAGACCAAAAGUUGGGUACAAUUCUGUUAAUGCUAUAAAACUGGUAUGUUUUGUGAUAAUGAAUUUAGAUAUAGAAAACUAUCUUUCUCUGAAAUAAAUGUAGCUUUCCUGUCAUUUCUUCAUUUUUUUUUUUUCAUUUCUUCAAUAUGAGGACCCUAGUAGGGAGUAGAAUUAAUCAUGUGUUAAAAAAAUUACAUCACCCUAAAAGACUUCCACUCAUUCUACAAAAGGUAGUCCAGGUCAUUUUUAAAAACUAAUGCGUUCUCGAACAGGAAAAAGUGCAAUAGGUUAAUUUGAAAAGUAUGAAUAAUUCAACACAGGAUCAUGCAUUUCUUUUUACAUAUUUCCCCAUAUAAAACUGUUGCUUUAUCAUUGUUAAGUAAACUCCCACUGGUGCAUGUGACUCCUUGAAAGCUCUGAUAGGAGAUGCAAUAUUGUGUUUAGUAGAAUAAAGUAACAACUCAAGUUUAAUAUGUUUGGGAAGAGCACGUGCAGACCCGUGUGAGUGUGUGUGUGUGUGUGUGUGUAGGAACUGACUUUUUCAGUUCACAAAGUAAUCUCUGAUUUGAACUUGCAGUUAAAAAAUGUUGACCAUGGGGGUGCCUGGGUGGCUCUGUGGGUUAAGUGACUUGGUUUUGGCUCAGUUCUUGAUCUCAAGCUUUGUGGGAUCGAGUCCCGGGUAGGGUUCCUUUGUCGGUGGGGAGUCGGCUUGAAGAUUCUCUCCCUCUGCCCAUCCCCGCCCCCCGCUUGUUCUCUCUCUUUCUCUCAAAAUAAAUAAAGAAAGCUUUAAAAAUAAAGAAAAUGUUGACAGUGAAAAACAAUUGAACAGGAUUUGUACAAAGUUCAGGGAAUUUGCAGAGCUUGGGCCUACGAAUUUGGUAGUGAGGUAAUCAAGUCAGCAAAAUACAGGUAAUCAAGUCAGCAAAAAUACAAGAUUUACUCGAAGUUUGGGUAGUAAAUUAAGCUCUUAACAGAAAAGAAAAUUGAUAUGCACAUACUACAAAUAUACACGAGGAACUCCUUAGAUGUUCUUUGUCUUAUCCGAGAUAAUAAGAAAAAUAAUAGAAUUUAGAGCUGCCUUGUGCCUUCCCACUUCACUUCUUUUGCGUGGGGCUGACCAUAGGGCCUCUCAAGUCUGGCUCAUUUUGUGUCGGUGAAUCUUGUUUAAUGGACAUUCUUUUUACAAAACGAGGUAGUCCCCCGGCUGGACCACAGUUCGCCUCAGUUCUAGGGAUCCCUCCACUCAGCCAGGUGUGGCCAAUCAUGGUAUCACAUCAGCCUGCAUGGAAUCGAUUUAGGACAUGGCGUGUUUCCUCGAAAAUGAAAUUCCCCAUGAAAACAGGACCGACAAGGACAUCAGAAAAGCGUUUUGGGAAAAGUGCCAGAAGUUGAGCGAGAGGCAAGGCAGAAUCCUCGGUAUCAGGGAGAAGGGGAAGAGGGUCAGACGGAAAGAGAAGCGAAAGGAAAAGCAGGGCAGGAGGAGAGGCACGGAGGAGAGAAGGGGCCUAAAUUAGAACAAGAGGCUAUGUUUAUUAAUAACCUUGCUGACCCACAGGCCCCUGACACAAAAUACAGUAAGUAUUGUUGGAACACUCUGCUCUGUCACUCCUAGGAGGAGCAAAUAAAAUAGUGGGGGAAGCUACAAACUUUCUGAGAACAGAUUAAAAAAAAAAAAAAAAAGCCACCACAACAGAAAAAAGCCAGAAUAGGGUGAAGGCACAGACUCACCAGCUGGAGCAGCCCUGCAGCCCGGGCUCCCCGUUAUUUUCCUACAGCACCUUCUCGCGUUGGUGGUAUAGUGGUGAGCAUAGCUGCCUUCCUAUAACACCUUCUCUGGGCAAUCUCCUGUAGGCUUCCACGCUUCCGGCAAACUAGAAGUGAAAACACACAAGGCAAUUUUUUCUCGAUUGCAAAAGUAAUACAUGUCCAUUGUAGAGCAUUUAGAAAUUGUGGAAACACGUGAAGAAAUAAAUAAAAAUAGACUAUAGUCCGGUCACCUGGGUGGCUCAGUCGGUUAAGCGUCUACUUUGGGUCAUGAUCCAGGGACCCUGGGAUGGAGCCCCGCAUCGGGCUCCCUGCUCAGUGGGGACCCUGCUUCUCCUCCUCCCUCUGCUUGUGCUCUCUUGCUCUCCUGCUCUCUCUGUAUCAAAUAAAUAAAAUCUUAAAAAAAAAGAGACUAUAGUCCCACUACUUCUUUCUUUACCUUUUUUUUUUUUAAAGAUUUUAUUUAUUUAUUUGAGAGAGACAGAAUGAGAGACAGAGAGCAGGAGAGGGAGGAGGGUCAGAGGGAGAAGCAGACUCCCUGCUAAGCAGGGAGCCUGAUGCGGGACUUGAUCCAGGGACUCCAGGAUCAUGACCUGAGCCGAAGGCAGUCGCUUAACCAACUGAGCCACCCAGGCGCCCACUUUUUUUUUUUUUUUUUUUUAGAGAGAGAGAGAGAGCAUGCACCCACACACAAGAGUAUGGGGAGGGGCAGAGGGAGAGGGAGAGAGACUCUCAAGCAGACUUCAUGCUGAGCUCGGAGCUGGAGGUGGGGCUCGAUCCCACAACCCUGACCUCACAACUGGAGCUGAAAUCAAGAGUCCUCGGCUCCACCCACUGAGCCACACUGGUGCCCCUCCACGUUUUUACUGACAUGUAUGCUUGAAAAGUAAGAUUGAGGCCCUGCUAUCAUCCACUAGUUUGUGAUUAAUUUUUUUUUUAAGAUUUUAUCUAUUUAUUUGACAGAGAGAGAUGCGGUGAGAGAGGGAACACAAGCAGGGGGAGUGGGAGAGGGAGAAGCAGGCUUUCCGUCGAGCAGGGAGCCUGAUGCGGGGCUGGAUCCCAGGACCCUGGGAUCAUGACCUGAGCUGAAGGCAGAUGCUUAACCAACUGAGUCACCCAGGCAUCCCUGUGAUUUGGUUUUCCCAUCUGACAAGUCAUAAUAAGUAUUUGCUCCUGUGUCGAAACUACUGUAAAGCAUGAUUUUUAUGUUGGCAUCCUGUUACCUUAUUUGUAGGUAUCAUAAUUCAGUUUACCUCUGGUUAGAUAUUCAUGUGGUUUAUUAACUUUUGGCCUUUAUAAAAUCUUUGUGUGUAUCUCCAUUUCUUCUUGAAAUUACUAUAAGCAAAAUUCCUGGGUCAAAAAGCUUUUUUUUUUUCUUGUCUAAGAUUUGCAGAGCUGCUCUCCAAAGUGUUUAUGCCAAUUUAUAUUCCCACCUGCCGUGAAUGAGAAUGCAGAAUUCACAAAACCAUCAUUAAGUCUCCCCAAACUAAGAAACUUAGAAUCCUAUUUUGAUUUGUAUUUUUUUGAUUAUUUGUGAUGCUAACUUUCUUCAUGUUUCUUGGCUAUUUGGCUUGUUUUGUGAGUAUGUAAUUUGCCUGUUAUUUACACUUUUAUUUAUUUAAAAAUUUACAAAAUUGAGUUUCUGUUAAAUUGUAAACCUUCUUUACAUCUUAAGUGUAUUAACUCUUUCACUAUCAAGCACUGCAAGCAUUUUAUCCUUUUUAUCAUUUGAUUUUUAAUUGUUAAUGGAUUUGUUAAGAAGAUUUUAUUUAUCUAUUAGAGAGAGAGAGAGAGAGAGAGAAUGCAAGUAGGGGGAGACACAGAGGGAAAGAGAGAAUCCCAAGCAGACGCUAGGUUUGAUCUCAUGACCCUGAGAUCAGGACCUGAGCUGAAGUCAGAAGUCAGAUGCUUAACCAACUGAGCCACUCAGGUGCCCCAAUAGUUAAUGGAUUUUUAAUGUAUAUGUUUAUAAAUCCAAGUACAUAAAUAUUUUCCUUUAUUCAUUCUUCCUCUGCUUUUAUGUUCAGAAAGGCUUUGUACAUCCCAGGGUCAGAUAAAUAUCAAUCUACAUUUUCUACUGCUUUUAUGACUCUUUUUAUUUUUUAAAAAAAUGUUUAAAUCUCUUACUUGUUUGGAAUUUGUUUUGGUCUGUGUAGUAAGAAUCUAUAUACCGAAGACUCUUUUCCUUACUGAUCUCAAUCUUGUAUGUUAUUGGGCCUGUUUCUGUAUUUUUCAAUUUUAUUUCAUUAUCUUCAUAUCUCCACUGCUUCUUCAGCCAAAACCCUCCCUUUUUUUAUUAUUAGAAUUUAAGACUAUGCUUUCAUAUCCAGUAAUUCAAGUUUGUCAUCCUUACAAUUAGUUUUCUGGGUUAUACUCCCCUCUUUAUUAUUCUGUAAGAACUCAUCCAGUUCAAAAUGUAAGUGAAUACAAUUUAUACAUUAAUGUGUGGGCACUUGAAGUCCUUAAUACUGAGUUUUCUUGGCUACAAGUAAAACAUGCCUGUCAUUUAUCUUUUCCUGCAAAUUUCUGCCAAGUUGUGGUUUCUUCAUGUCAUAUCUCAAUAUAGUCUCGAGUUUAUUGAUUGUUGUUGUGAAUCCUGUUUCUCUAUUAAAUUUUAUAACUGCUGAGGAAAGUUGCCUACGUACAUAUUUUUAUUUGGCAUUUGCCACUUUCCUGCUUUUUAUUCACAAAGUUUGCCAGUUGAUUCUUUUGAACCAUAUAGGUAAAUAUUAUCAUCUGCAAAUAAUGAUAAUUUUUUUCCUCUUCCUCAAAAUGACGUAAUUUCUUCAUUUUUCCUCUUAUUGCAGAAGAUUAGAACUUUCAAAUUAUUUUAAAAUAUUCUUUAUUGGACACGCCUCCAGUAUUUCGCUACUAAGUUUGAUGGCCUGAAUACAUUGUAUUUUUGAAGAACUCUGGCUUCCGUAAAGUGGUUUUGGCUUCAAAUGGCUAUCUCCCUCCUGAACCUUUUGUUCACUGGUCCACUUGGAUGUCUCCCAACCCUCUCUGCCCAGAGCUGAACAAGUCUUACCCUUUUCUUUUUUUUCUCUUUUAAAGAUUUUAUUUAUUUAUUUAUUUAUUUAUUUAUUUAUUUAUUUAUUUAUUUAUUAUUUUAGAGAGGGAGAGCAAGAAAGAGCGUGAGCUGGGGGAGGGGCAGGGGGAGAGGGAGAGAAUCUCAAGCAGGCUCUGCACAGUGUGCAGAGCCCGGUGUGGGGCUUGAUCUCAAGACCCUGAGAUCACGACCUGAGCUAAAAUCAAGAGUCGGAUGCUGGGGUGCUUGGGUGGCUCAGUCGGUUAAGCAUCUGCCUUCAGCUUGGUUCAUGAUCUUAGGGUCCUGGGAUCGAGCCCCACACAGGGCUCCCUGCUCAGCAGGGAGUCUACUUCUUCCUCUCCCUCUGGCCCUCCUCACUGCUCCUGUGCUCUGUCUCUCUCAAACGAAUAAAUAAAAAAAUCUUUUAAAAAAAAGAGUCGGGUGCUUAACCAACUGAGUCACCCAGGCACCCCAAGUUUUACCCUUUCAUACAUAAAAGUGUUCUAUCUCUAUACAGACAACCCCACCUCUUACCUACUGAUGCUUUUUUUUUCUUAUCAUCCACAUUUCACUGUGGGAGAUCAGUUCUCAGACCAACACAUUCAUUACAAAUCCGAACCACUACUGUUUUAGUUAGUAUGAAAAUAUGAAACGACCAGGCUAUUUUCUGCCAACUUAAAAGUUAGCGUCUUGUGGAAGAAUUUGUUUUUAAUGUUUGCAUUUUAAGAAAAUGCUGAACUAUUUUCUCACAUAGGAAUUAUUUCAUUUGAAUUUGCUGACUUUUUGUCAGCAAAAAGCAAAAAGAACCUGGGAUUUUGCCGAUGCCAUGCUAAGAGGGUUGGUUCCGUGGGUUAGAUGGGUUAGAACAAUAUGUAAAAACAGACUGAGAAAGAGUGACAGUAACAGUUAGCAAUGGCGGGGGUCACCUAUGCGGAGGGAGAAGGGUGCAUGCCUUUGGAGAGGGGUCAGGCCUAAUAACCGUGGGAAGUUGAAUGGUCUCUCUAUCACUCUGAGACUCCAUUUCUGCAACUCUAAGUUUGGGGUCAUCACCUGUUUUGCAAGUAUAAUGUAAGAAUGACAGAUGAUGAGUGUAAAGCAUCUGGUAAGACACUUGGCCCCUAUCAGGCACUUACUGAGAGAAACUGUAAGCUUCUGGCUAGGUUUGAAGGCAGGAUGACGGACCAUGUUAUAGAUAAUAAAAUGGAAAGAAAAGACCUUUUUCUGCUACACAGAGUUAACCCCAAGCAUGUUUAAGAAUUUCAGGAUUUGGGGGCGCCUGGGUGGCUCAGUCAGGUAAGUGUCUGCCUUCAGCUUGGGUCAUGGACCCAGGUUCCUGGGAUCAAGUCCUGCAUUGGGCUCCCCACUCAAUGGGGAGUCUGCUUCUCUCUCUCUCCAUGUACCCCUCUGUCGUGCUCUCUCUCUCUUAAAUAAAUGAAUAAAAAUCUUAAAAAAAAAGAAUUUCAGGAUUUAGCUAACAGGCAGUGCUGUAUGUUCAUGGGUUCUAAAGGCCCCCAGUCUCCACCUUAAGGCAGUGGAAACCCUUAGUCCUCCUCUUCUCUAUCUGGUUUGGCCAUUUAUGUGAAUGCCAAACAUCACUGGACCCCGCUUUCCAUCCCACCCUGAUAGAGUAUGAGCUCGGAAUGUUUAGAUUUCAACGGCCUCUGAGCAGGACCAGAAGGGCUCCUCAUUUUGAUAAUAUAGUAAAAUAGUCGUUGUGACUAUGUGUCAGGCAUUUAAGAACUUCCUUGUCAACCCCCCUUAAUUUUUCCAAUUUGUUAGCCUGGAAAAUGCCCUUAUUAGUAUCAAACUUAGGUCUUAACAAGGCAGGAUAAAGUUUUUCUUCUAUCUUUCCCAAAGUGAAGCUAGAGAUCUGGAUUUUUUUUUUUUUUUUUUUUUUUUUUUUUUUUUUUACUUGAUGGGAGGUUUCUGUAUUAUUAUUGUUUAAAGUCAAUUAUCCUUUACUUUGUGUUCUUUUUCUGUUGUUUAUUUUAUCUGUCCUUCUCUCCCAGAGGGGCAGAAUUAAGGCCCCCAUUUGGUUUUUAUUAGUGUAAUCAGUUAAUAGCUCUUCGAUAAUGCUUUACUUAUUGUGUUAAUUUUCUGCAGUUAUGUCCAGAGGCAGCUUCCUGGAAGACCACAUUUAAAAAAAGAAAAAGAAGAUCUAACAUUUCUUCUUUAAUGGGUCCACUUAGCAUUUAUAGUUUCAGCUAAGAUUAUGGAACACUGUUGAUUUACAAGAUUAUUGAAAAUAUAUAUAAACAGCAGCUACUAUUUUAAAUAGAUCUGUGGUAACCCUAAAAAUUCCAUUAGUAUGGUGAAGGUACGAACACUGCCCAUGGUGUUUCUGUUGACAUGGCUUAUCACAUCAAUUCUUUGGAUUUAUCUGGAACGCAUUAAAGGUAUGGGUGUACGCCUUUCCCAUGCAUAUGGUGCCAGUCACUGUAGUUCUACUGUGUCAGCAGCUAAACUCUGCUUUCCAGGGACCACCGUCCAAUUGCUAGUGACAAUUUUUUUUUUUUUUUAAUAGGCUCUACAUCCAGCGCGGAUCUCACAAUCGUGAGAUCAAGACCUGAGCUGAGAUCAAGAGUCGGUUGCUAACCAACCGAGCCACCCAGGGCCCCGCUGGUGGGGAUUUUAAUGGGAACGUAUCCUACAUGGACCUUGGUACUCAGAGAGUAGUCCUCAAAUUAAAGUGGAGCUUCGGGGCAGAGCAUAGGGACAAACUAACUUACUUGAAGGGUCACAAAAAAGAGAUUGAUGAUCAAUGUGAUAGAUUGAGCCCCCAUGGUAGGUUGUAUUCUGAAUUAAAUGAAUGUGCUGAAGCAAAGAGAACAUGACUCAGUGAUUGGCAUCAUGGGUUCUAGACCCACUUCGGACACGAAUUAGCUCUAGAACUUCCUGGGACAUGAACUGGCUCUAGACCCACCUCGGACACGAACUAGCUCUCAGGCCUUUCAGGGCCUCAGUUCCGUCCUCUGUAAAGCGAGAAGUUGGGAUGAAGGUUCUAAAGUUCCUCCCAGCUUUCACCGUCUCUGCAAUGUUCAGUCAGUGGUCGCUCUGUGCACGCACUUAGUGAGGAGGAAUCAUUAGCAGGUGACCGAAUUAGGAUUAGAAUGCCUUCGGGUCAUUAUCGAGUUUUGGGACAUGAACUGGGCGCUUAGCACAAAAUGGGGGCCCAUCAGUGCUUUUAUAAUAAAUCCGUUUUUAUGGUGACGCCUAAGUGAAAUUCUAUUUUGGAGAACUGUUCUUGGUCCCGCCCAAUGGCUGUGAGUGGAUGUGGGAAGAGCACCAGAGGGUAAGUCACAGAGCCCCGCUGUGGGAGCCUGGGCAAGUCACUUUCUCUCCUUGGGUCUUUCCCCCUUCAUUUGUCAAACAAAGGGGGUGGAGGAGAAUCACCAAGGUAGCUUCUAACUAAGGGAGUCCGUAGCCUUGUAAGAAUUGGCUGCCGCGUAAAGCAAAUGAGAAGGUUCUGAUGUUCCCCCAACAUCCAGUGCCCAGAGCAGUUGGAGCAUGUUAGCUGCAAUUUCGUGCUUGCUGGGAAACAGGACGUGGGCUUGCUACGGAGACGGGCUGGGAAGGAGAGGACAGAAAGGAGAUCUGUGCGCUAAGGGUUGGCUGGGGAAAUUUCAUGCAAAGAAGGGAAUGAGGUUUCCUGUAAUUGCCUGUUUCUGAGCUACAGAAUGUAUCCAAUCCUGUGUUUAAAACGAUGCAUUGCCUCGUUGUUAGCUCAGUACGCCACUUGUUUUGUCUGCCUCUGUACCUGCCAGUGCUGAUGAUGUUUGAGAACUUUCCUUUCAGGCAGUGCCUCAAAGAGGGCAGUGGAAGGCCACAGGGCAAAGUCAAGACAGAGCAUAUUUGAAAGGAAGAGGGGAGAAGCCCAUAGACAUUUCAAUGGAAGUAUUUUUAAGGCAUUUCAAGGAGGAGUCUGAGAAAUAAUUACAAAGUUUAAAAAGGAAGAAUCUUGACUUUGAUCUGAUUUUCUUCUGCAAAGCAAUUAGGUCCAUCAUUUUUUUAAGGGCUAAGCUGAAAAUUCUAAUGGCUGGACCCAAACACUUUCAUUUGUGUCUUGGCACUUCUAAAUUCCAAAAGAAAAAAAAAAAGUUUAACAAUUUAUUAAGGUGAUUUUUGCAGAGGGAUUAAUGCAUAAAGCAUUUGCUGGUCAGCUCUCGUAAAGACUACAGCACCAUAGUAUAGCUGAGAUUAAGAGCUAGAUGUAAAUCAUGCAAGCGUCCAAUUAAUAGCACCGAACUAAGGAAUCUAUAAAGUUGAUCUGAUGAAAGGAGGAAAAACUGUCAAGGUAUGAUUGGAAUUUUCCGUUCCAAUUGCUGUUGGGGAUUUUAAUGGGAAUGUAUCCCACAUGAAUUUCUUCCUCACCAGCCUGGUCCACGGGAUAGGCACUCAGGUAAGGAGAGGAUAUUUGAUAUGUGUUCUAUUGAUGUUAGAUGUGAAUGAGUGAAAGUUGUAACACUGAGCUUAAGGGUUUUCUCCAGCUCGAGACUGUACUAUGCUCGGAGGGAGUCUGUAUUGUGCAUAUUCCUACAACUUCCAUAUGCCCCAGAGGGAACAGAGCAGGACUGGAGCUCUAAAUAACCCUAAUGAUAUCGGGUAGGAGCCCAUCAGGGAGUUGUUCGAGUUUGUCAGAGCAUAUUAAAAUACAAUGCAUUCACAUCAUCAGAAAGCGUACAUCAGUCUGUCUAUACGUUCCUUUCUGAUAUUAAAUUUGUCCAGGGACUAUUCAAAAUUACACCCCACCUACCUGUACUCCCUCCCUUAGUGAAUAAACAUGCCGAAGAAGUGGAGAGUAAAUCAGAAUAAUGCACGUUGGUGAAAGUCCUAUAAUUGAAAUCAUUAUUGCUUAAGACACCACUGCUUAAAUCAGCCCUAUCAUAAAUCAGUGCUUUUCACAAGUGAAGGUUUAAAAUAAAGUGCUGUUUAAACAGAUUGGGUCUCUUAAAAGGCAUGAUGCAAUUGGGAAGCCCUGGAAAAUGGAUAAAAAAGUGGUUUCUGAAGAGAUACACUGGUUCCAGCAUUUUAUCUUCCACUUAAUUAAAAAAAAAAAAUUACCUAGUCCUUUCUUAGAAAUUACAUAUUGGAGGGCUGUAAUGGCCAAGCCUUUAACCCAUUAAAAAAAUUUACUCCCAGGAACAGUUAAUAUUUGACGUUUAAUUGCUUUUUCUUGUUGGAGAGGAAAAUCUGUUUCUUUCCUUCCUUUCUUGAUUGACUCUUCAAAAAUCACCUUGUGAGCUAUAAAGAUGGAGAGGAGUAAUUGAUUUUCAAAAACUCAAGUGCAUGCACAUGUAUUCACGUGUGCGCGUGUGUGUGUACAUUACAACCUCUGAGUACCAGGCACAGGGGCUUCCCCCACAAUCACUGUGCAAGGCAGGUGUUACUAUUUCUAGUUAACAGAGACGCAGCCAAGGCCCAGAGUGGUUGAUUUCUUGCAUAGGGUCACACAGGUAGUAAGUGAUGGGAGGCUGAGUCUUUAUUCCUCCAACCCUGUUGCCUGCCUGUAGGGACGCUUCAUGCCCAGGUGUGCAGAUGUCCAUGGAGCAAGGACCAAAGGCCAUGCCAAUGAUCCCCAUCAUUGGAGUAACUAAUCCUUUCAGCCUGUUUAACCAGCACCACGUUCUGGAAUUUAGCAAAUAAUGCCACGCCAUCCACAAAUGUCGAAAGAGUCCAACUCUGAUUUGUGCCUGUUAUGUGAAUACUGCAUUGUAACUGAGCUAGGAGAAGCAGUUGAACCAGCCUUAUCAGUGAUACCAACUGGGGAGAGAUUUUUCCUUGGAGAGUUUUAUGUGGACGAGUGGGGGGUUGGAUGAUCUCUCAUUAGAAAAAUGCCCAUACAGACUUCAGAUGAACUUCCGGGGCUCCUCAGGACUUGUUUCAAGAGUCUUAAAGAGGGUGUCAUCAGGACAUUGGUGUAGAAGGGGCAAGGAAAAGCCACUUUUCAGUUGCCCUGAGUUAGAAAAUUUCCAUUUCAACAUUGUCAAUCCCUCACCUUUUAUGUGAGGUAAAUUCACUACCAAAGGCCAAAGUGUUCCCUUUUUUUUCUUUCUGUUUUCUUUUUCUUCCUUCCUUUCUUUCUUUCUUUCUUUCUUUCUUUCUUUCUUUCUUUCUUUCUUUCUUUCCUUCCUUCCUUCUUUCUUUCUUUUUUUCUUUCUUUUCUUUCUUUCUUUCUUUCUUCUUUCUUUCUUUCUUUCUUUCUUUCUUUCUUUCUUUCUUUCUUUCUUCUUUCUUUCUUUCUUUCUUUCUUUCUUUCUUUCUUUCUUUCUUUCUUUCUUUCUUUCUUUCUUUCUUUCUUUCUUUCUCUUUCUUCCUUCUUUCCUUCCUUCCUUCCUUCCUUCCUUCCUCCCUCUCUCUCUCUUUCUUUCUUUUCCUUCCUUCCUUCCUUUCUUUCUUCCCUUUUGCUCUUCCUUUCUUUCUUCCCACAAAACCAGGUAUUAUUUAGGUAUCUGGCAAAGCCGCACAAACCAACUGUUCCUCCUCAAAAUAUGCCUUUUAGAGCUCAGGUGAUACACCUCAAUUACACCUUCUAUGUUUUGUGGUCAGAUGUGGGCUGUGUCAUUCUACAUCACUCCACCUUGCGAGAAAAUAUUUAUAUAUUAGCCUCACCAGGUUGCAUGUCCUCUGGGAUUGCUCCUGCCUGUGCUGUCUUCAUGCCAGUGGUGGGCAGUUGAAUGGCUGACCUUCACAGGACCGCUGGGCAUCUGCAGCGAAGAGGAACCGGCUCCUUCCCCCUCUGACUUCACUCAGCUGGAAAACUACAAGAAUGUUCUUUGUCUCACGACUUGGGGAAUGUUCUUUCGUUAGCGGUUCGGACACUGAUACGGUUUCUUCAGACCCUUGUCUACACCUGCAUAAGGUCUGUAAAGUGAGUAUAAUGAAUAACUCAGUUUCACUGUUUUCUUUAAAGUGACAGCAUGUUAUCGUGAACGCUUGCAUUUGGACACAUGGCUAAACAACCGCCUUUUGGAUUUUCCAUGUUAGGAUGAAAAAAAAAAAAUGCAAGCCACACAUCACCAAGAAUCCACGGCUGUGCCUGGCAGUGUAAUUGGGAAAAGUUUGGAAUGUUAGUGGACAUUCCUAGGAGCAGCUUUAUUUCCCGCACCUGCAGCAAUGCGCUGACAUUAAACACACAGGGACCAAGUGCAUGUGUGUAAGGCGCAGUGGUAGACGGAUGUGAAAAAUGGGUGGAUGAGGACUUGGGAUGAGAUUCUCCCAGGACUCCAAUGUGCUGAGGUUGGGAAAUGCUCAGGCGGGCACCUUCCAGGCACGGUUGGCUGUGCUACUAAUAAGGUUACCGCUGGGGCCUGAUUUCAUUCCAUGAAAUCUUUUCACCAUCAGGGUGAAGAAAAUUAUUUUUCACCGUUCCCCAAAUGGAAACAUUUUCAGAGAGAGUGCACAAGUAGGCAAAGCAGCAUGCAGAGGGAGAAGGAGAAGCAGACUCCCCACUGAGCGGGGAGCCCGAUGUGGGACUCGAUCCCAGGACCCUGGGAUCAUGACCUGAGCUGAAGGCAGCCGCUCAACCAACUGAGCCACCCAGGUCAGUGGGCCCUGGUGUGCCCGACGCCCAGCAUCUCCAUCAGAUACAGCUUUGAUGGUGUACCAUCUUCAUGGUGAGGCCUCGUCCACAGCCAUGGACUUUCAGGCGGGUUUGCUGCUCAGCUGCUGACCUUUCUCUGGUAAGAGUAUCCUAUAUCCCAUCAUCAGUAGAGCCUUUUUCUCUGCAUCUCAGUCUCUGGUCUCCAAAUAUUACUAACUGUACACAUUCACUUUUUUUUUAAAGAUUUAUUUAUUUAUCUUAGAGAGAGAGGGAGAGAGAGAGCAUGAGCAAGGAGGGGUGGAGGGAGAGAGAAAGAGAAUCUGAGCGAAUGGAGCCCGACUCGGGAUUCGAUCCCAGGGCCCUGUGAUCAUAACCUGAACCGAAACCGAGAGUCGGACAGUCAACUGACUGUGCCACCCUGGUGCCCCUAGACAUUCACGUUUUAAUCCCCAUGUAGGUUGGGGUCCUUUUCUCUUCUUAGUAUAAAAGUGAUAUAUAUCCACUGUAGAGAAUUUAGAAGACACAAAAGAAGCAAAACCAAGAAAACAACUGUUGUGGGUAUAAACAUUGUUAAGACCUUGGUGUGGGUUACUUUUUUCCCUCCAUGUUUAAACUUUUAUUUAGGAAAAAACAGAAUUACUACUCAGAUGGGCAAUGCUUUCCUCCAAGUUAUUUGCUAUUUUAUAGAAUCAAUUGUUACAAAACUAGAGCCUCUGGCCCCAGCUAAUUGGACCAGUCUGGGCCAUCAGGCCCUAGCUGGGGCAGUACCUGCUCUUUCCUUAGUGUUAAAUCAGAUGAUAUUGGGAUCUGGGGCCAUAAUAUCACAUCAAAGUGGGAUUAGAAUUUUCACUUUGAAGGCUAAAACUUUAUUGGAGAUGGUGGUUUGUGAGAGACAAGUAGAGAAGACACAGGAGUCUAGAGGCUUCCUUGGAUCCUGGCUCUAAUUUCUGUGGUGAAUUUUGUGUUCUAACCUUUUAUUCAUAUCUCAAAUCCUCCCUUAGUGGUAGAGCUGUGUCUGUGGGGUUCUGACAUCUCCCCCUAACAGUAUCUGAGAAGGUAGGCUUGAAUAUUUAUGGGGAAAGAGGAGCAUCCUGCUUAAACUCUGGCAUUAACACUGAGUCCAAAUACGUACCUUGUCACGUAGUUUGCUAUGUGACUUGGGCGAAUUAUUUAAACAAUCUGUCUCACAGUCCCCAUCUGUAAAAUGGAUAUAACAAUGCGGUCCAGUGAUGUAAGGAAUCGGAAGUUCCUGGGACACAGUCUGCCACAAAAGUCAGGUUCGAUAAAUUUUGCCUAUGAUUAUUAAUUAUCACAAUCCUAAAUCCUCUGUAAUUGCUCAUGAAACAGCCCCAUACUUUUUCAGCAUUAGAACCAAAGCUGUGACAAACAUCCCCAAAUAUUUACAUGUGAUUGUCUUGAGUUAAAUGCCUAGGAGUUGCAUCAUCCGGUCACAGAUUAUGGACAUUUGAAGAGUUCAAAGCUGUCACUGUUUUCAUUGAAUCUUGUAAGAUGUCCACAACCCAGCCUUUCCCAAUUUUUUAUUCAGCUUGGGAAAGAUGAAGAAAACCCACACCCAACAUGCUCCUUGCCUCAAGGAACAUUGUCUGUUGGACAAGCAGAUGUACAAGCAAUUAUAGGUCAUAGUUACAUUUGCCAGAAUGGAAGAGUGUAUCUGUAAGGAAAUCCCUGAGCCACGGUCUACGCAGUUAGUCUGAUGGUCUCCAGAGGGUUUUGAUGGGUCCCAGGUUACAGCAUUUCAAAACAUUUUUAGUUGCCAACAAUGAACGACUGGAGAUUUCAGGUAAAAAUGUAGAUUUCUGUCUCACCUUGAAAAAAAAAAAUGGAAGUAUUGGCAAUACUGAGGCCUCAUGUUACCAUGGCAACAGUGAGGCGUGGCUGACCCUUUAGCUAGGGCACCAGUUCUCUUUUUUUGGCACAGUCCCUACCACUCCCUAGUGUACUACCUUUUGCUGCUAUCUGUAUGAGCCAUGAGCUUCUGACGAUAGGCCUAGUUAAGGGGGUAUUUAUUUUUUCACGGGCUCUCAGAGAAGACACAGAGAGGUCUGCUAGAGCAGAGGACUACAGGGUAAGCAAAAAUAUGCUUAAAUAUGCUUAAAAUAUGGAGGGAGGACCAUCCAUGGUGGGCAGAAUUGCAUGUGCAAAGGUCCGGGGGCUGGAACACAGAGGCCUGCUUGGGUGAUGACAAGCAGACAGGACAGGAGAAGAGUUGGGCAUUUGAAGGAAGGGACUGAGAGAAAGAGUUGGAGAGGCAUGUAAGCAUCAGCUUUUGUGCAGCCUGGCAUGCCAAAAUAAGGAAUUUAGAUUUUUUUUUUUUUUUUUUUUUUUGCUUGCUGUGAAAACUGGAUCUGAUACUCGAGAGAAGAAGAGCUAAAAGAGUUUCUGUUAUCUGUGCUCUGACAUCACGGUGGUGCCUUGCAGAGUAUGUUGUGCGCAGAACCUCAUUCAAUCCUGACGCCAACCCCAGAAGACGUGUGCUUUCGUUACCCUCACCUCACAGAUGAGAAAAUGCAGAUAGAAGGAGGCUGGUUAAGUGACUUCCCCGAGGUCACAACCACUUUGUUCCUGCCACAGAAAAGGUUAUGUGGAAGAAAUCUCUCAGUCCUGAUAGAGCCAGAGCUUGGGGAUGUUAUCCUGAAAAAGUAAAGAUGGAUGGCCUUCCCUGAUGAGCUUUUCUAGCAAUCAGACAGGCAUUCUUUCCCUGCACCUGGUGAUCAUAGUGUAUCCUGCCGAAUCUUUUCUGCACGAGCCCGUGGGUUGCUAAGAUGACGUUGCAUGCCAUACCUUGAGCUGAACUUAAUUUAAGCAAGUUAGCACAAAACGAGGACAACUUCUGUGCAGUAUAGGACUUCUGUUGGUGAUCUUGUGGACUUACGGAAUACUGAUCCUCUACAGGAAGUAAGAGGCAGAUAUGUAAUCUGGGCCAUCUUUCUGAUCCAUUUUAGUUAUGUCUGAUUCUAAAUUGAGUUAUAUAGAAUUUAACAUAACAGGACCCUGUGUCUAUAUUCUUUAUGCCUCCUUUCUAAAAAUGUAAAAUUUUAUAUGCCAAUCUGAGUUAAAUGAUCUGAGGGCAUUCAAAAUCAAAGAUUAUUUGACUUGUGUUCCAGUGUGUUCUAUAUUGGACUACUUUAUGAAGAUAUUUGGUAACAGAACAAGUGUGUGUGUGUUUGUGUGUGCAUGUGCACAUAUUUUUUUUUAACUCACCAUGCUCAGAUGUGUGAAUGUUAGACGGUAAGCACCCCAAAGGGCAGGUUUGGGUGGUGGUGUUCACUUUGUUAGCCCCAUAACACCUGAUGGAAGGCUCUUGAGAAAUAAAAUGCCAGUUUAUAAUUCUAUAGACUUUAUAUUCCUGAAGAUCCUUUGGUGACCUCUCUUACAACCAACCAUCUGGUGAGAUGGAUCAGACAAGUCUUACAAUCAUUACUUCACAGAUGAUAAAUCUGAGCUUCAGAGAGAGCUAUUUGUGAUUCUUUCCAUGUCUUCUACUCCAAUUUUUUCUUGAGUAUGAGAGCUGGAACUUUACAUUGAAUGGGAGGAGCCUCACUAUACAAGGGUGAUGGGGGAAAGGGCAUGUCUGAAUGCAUGAGGCAGGUUGAUGAUGGUUGAUAGAAGCCUUCCUACAGAGCCACAGGACUUCUCCAUCACCACCUGCACCUCACCUUGGAGCACUGAACUACAUUCACAACCACCAUGAGCAAUGGUUGGCAAUGAGGUGUCCAAAUGGUUAUGGGAAUGCAUCUCUGGCUUUUCCAGAAGUGGUCCCCAGGGUGCUUGCGGUGUGUACUAGUUUUUCCUGAAGCUUCAGGAUCAGUGUUUGAAUUCCUGGACCAAUUUACCUAACUUCUACCUGGUCUCACUCAUUACAGACUGAGUUAUCUCUCAGAUGGACAGGAAAUUGUACUACAAAUGGGUCAACAACAACAAACAGGACUGAUUGGGCACAUGCUACCUUGGAUCUUUGGGUUACCUAUAUUUAUCUAACAAAAUGUUCUUACCUCUCAGAGUACUAGUGAGAGACUUAACAUUUCACUAGGUCUUGGGUAGACUUCUGGGAUGGACAAUGUAACAAUUUGGCUUGUCCCUUCCUAAUUCGUUUCCAUCCAAUUCAACAAAUAGUUUAGUGAGCACAUAUUACAACAUGCCAGGCAGCUGUGCUGAUACUGGGAAUAUGGAGGAAAGUGAUACAUGCACUGUUCUUGCCUUCAUGGAAUAUAUAAACUAGUGGGGAAAGAUGGCAAGAAAGGAAUGAAAGUCGGAUUCGUGUGAUGAAAAAAAGCAGUCCCAUGAAAUUGGUGUAUUUUUCCAGGGAGGUAAGCAUGCUGGAACUUUCUGGUUAUUUCAGUUUAGAUUGCCUGAACUUCUUAAUGUGCUCACAGGUAAGCUCUGGUCUUAGUAGCUAUAAAAUGUUGUGAAAGUUCCACGACCUCUUUGGACUACAGUUCUGUCAUUUGUGAAACAUAGGGGUUGACUAGAUGAUUUUGUAACUCAACUCAUCAUGGUGGACAUUGCAUAAUGUAAGGAAGUGUCAAAUCACUAUGUUGUACACCUGGAAUGAAUAUAACAUUGUAUGUCAUCUAUGCUUCAGUUGAACCAAACAAACAUAAAUAAAAGUCUUUUCAGUGAAAUGUUGAAAGCUCUUCCUUUAAGGUCAAGAACAAGACAAGGGUGCUCUCUCUCACCACUCUUGUUUACAUAGUUCUGGAAGUCCUAGCCAGGGCAAUUAGGCAAAAAACCAAAACAAAACAAAAAAAGAAAAACAAAAAACAAAUACAAAACAAAAAAACAAAAGCAAAACAAAAAAACCCCACCCAAAUCAGAAAGAGAAAAGAGAAAGAAAGAAAGAAAGGCAUCCAAAUUGGAAAGAAAAAAGUAGAAUUGUGUCUGCUUGCAAGUGAUAUGAUCUUAUAUGUAGAAAACCCUACAGACUCCACCAAAAACCUCUUAGAACUAAUAAAAGAAUUCAGUAAAGUUUCAGGAUACAAAAUCAAUAUACAGAAAUCAGUUGUGUUUCUAUACACUAACAACAACAUAUCUGAAAAAUAAAUGAAGAAAACAAUUACAUUUACAAUGAUACCAAAACCAAAAACAAUAAAAUACUUAGAAAUAAACGUAACCAAGGAGGUGAAAGGUCUCUACCUGGAAAAUUAUAAGACUUUGAUGAAAAAAAUUGAAGAGGACAAAUAAAUGGAAAGAUAGCCCAUGCUUAUGGGUUGGAAGAGUUAAUAUUAUUAAAAUGUCCACACUCACAAAGCUAUCUAUAGAUUCAGUGCAAUCCCUAUCAAAAUUCCAAAGGUAUUUUUCACAGAAAUAGAAAAAACAAUCCUAAAAUUCAUAUGGAACCACAAAACACACCAAAUAGACAAAGCAAUGUUGAGAAAGAAGAACCAAACUGGAGGCAUCAUAUGUCCUGAUUUCAAAUGGUGUUACAAAGCUAUUGUAAUCACAACAGUAUGGUAGUGGCAUAAAAAUAGACAGAUAGACCAAUGGAAAUAAAUGGAGAGCCCAGAAAUAAACCCACACAAAUACAGUUAACUACUGUAUGACAAGGGAACCAAGAAUACUCAAUGGAGAAAUGGUUGUCUCUUCAAUAAGUCAUGUUGGGAAAACUGGAUAAUUAUAUACAAAAGAAUAACAUUGGAUCCUUAUCUAACACCACUCAUAAAAAAUUAACUCAGAAUGGACUAAAGAUUUAAACAUAAGACUCAAAACUGCACAACUCCUAGAAGAAACCAUAGGGAAAAAUCUCCUGGACAUUGGUCUUGGCAAUGAUUUUUUGAAUAUGACACCAAAGGCACCAACAGCAAAAGCAACAAUAAACAAGUGGGACUAUUUUAAACUAAAGGUCUUCUGCACAGCAAAAGAAAUAACAAAGUGAAAAGGCAACCUAUGGAAGGGGAGAAAAUAUUUGCAAACCAUAUAUCUGAUGAGGAAUUAAUAUCCAAAAAUUUUAAGAAACUCAUAAAGCUCAAUAACAGAAAACCAAACAGUCAUUUAAAAAACUAGCAAAAGACCCAAAUUGACAUUUUUCCAAAAAAGACGCACAAAUGGCUGACAGGUACAUUGAAAUGUGCUAAAUGUCACUAAUCGUUAAGGAAUGGAAAUCAAAAUCAUAAUGGCAUCACCUCACACCUGUUAGAGGGGCUGUUAUAAAAAAGAUGAGAUGACAAAUGUUGGGGAGGAGGAUGGAGAAGAGGGAACCCUCGUGCUCUGUUCGUGGAAAUGUCAGUUGGCAGAAACACUGCAGAAAACAGUUUGGAUGCUCCUCUAAAAAAAAAAAAAAAUAGACUACCCUAUGAUCUGAUGAUCCCACCUCUGGGUAUAUUUCCAAAGGGAAUGGAAUCAGGAUCUCAAUGAGCUGUCUGCAUUCCUGUGUUCAAUACAGUAUUAUUCACAACAGCCAACAAAGGGAAAUAACCUUAGUGUCUGUCUAUGGAUGAAGGAAUAAAGAAGGUGUGAUAUAUAUAUAUAUAUAUAUAUAUAUAUAUAUAUAUAUAUAUAUAUAUUUCUGGGAAUCUAAUGUGCAAGAAUGGAAAUAAUACAGUAGUAUAAAUAUUACUUAGCCACCUGAAAGAAGGAAAUCCUACCAUGGGGAUAUCAAACACGGAUGGACAUUGAGGGCAUUGUUUUAAGUGAAAUAAGUCAGAUGUGAAAAACAAACAUCAUAUGAUCUCAUUUACACGUGGAAGCUAAAAAAGCUGAACUCAUAGAGUCAGAGAGUUAGAAUGGUGUUUACCAGGGGCUGGGGGCUGGGAGAAAUGGGGUGAUAUCGGUCAAAGAUACAAACUUCCAGUUAUAAUAUGAACAAUUUCUGGGCAUCUAAUGUACAACAUGGUGACUACAGUUAACAACACUGUAUUCUGCACUUGAGAGUUACUAAGAGUAGAUAUUAAAUGUUCCCCUCCCCCUAAGCAAGGUAAUUAUGUGAUGUGAUGGGGAGGUGUUAACGAACCCUAUUGUGUAAUCAUUUUGCCACAUGCAUGUGUAUGAAAUCAUCAUGUUGCACACCUUAAACUUACACAAUGUUAUAUGUCAGUUUUACCUCAGUAAAGGUAAAGGGGCGGGAAGGCUGUUCAGUCCUAAGUAUUUUUGUUGUAUUGAACAAUAGCUAACAUCUAUAUUGCAAUCGCUAACAUCUAUAAAAGGCUACGUAUGUGCCAGGCACUGGCCAAGUGGCUUUUCUGGCAUUGUUACAUUUAAAAAGUAAUUUUUGUGACUCUGCUAUGUAAACCUGACUACCGUAUCAAGAGGGGUGUUAGUAACCAUCAAGGGAGCAGAUGGCUUUGCCCAGAUAUCUUUCCAGAUUUAGAUAUUUGAGAUCCUUUGCUAGCGAACUUGCCUCACAUAUGGAAGCAUCUAUGUGCCGUUUAUGUAAUAUUCAUACCUAAACUCUUUGUUCAUGGUGAAAAAUGAUCCAUUUGAUGCCUUGCGUAAUUUAAAAGAUCUCUCAAGACAAAUAAGCAGUUUUCAAGGCAAAACGAAGUCCUUCGUCUGUUAUAGCUAUUUAUUUAAAUGCCCCAUAUCUUCCCCGUCUCCAUCAAGUAUCUCCUUUUGCGAAGUUGUUCGGUCUUUUUGGAAUUCCUUUGUGUCAUUUUCCGAAGUUAUUGAACUUAAUUACUGUGUGACUUACUAGGCAGACGUGGUCUUCGGCUACCUGCUAGGGAUUAGGGCGCCCCCCUUUCAGUCGUGUGAGCGGGGGAAUGAGCGAUGCCCUUGCAACGGGCCAAAAGGCACACACUGGAAGAAAGAGGUGGGGUGUUCGAUGGCCCCCUAACGUGGUAAAUUAGUUAACUAACCAUGAUGAUGAUAAUGACAAUGACAACAGAAAUGAUGAUGUAGAACGUGAGGAUGGUAGAGGUGGUUGUGAUUGUGGCCAUUGUGGAUGGAGCAUCCCAGAAACUUGGUUUGCAUAACUAUCUUAUUUAACGCUCACAACAACCAAGUGAAUGUGGUGCUAAUGUAUCCAUCGAGAGAGGAUGAAACUGAGCCUCAGCAUUUGUAUCCACCUGUUGUAGAUCACACUGGCAGUAACCAGACAAGCUGGGAUUUAAACCCAGUUCAAUCUAAUUCCAGAUCUUUGGCUUUUAGUGACUCUACGGUACUAAUUGAAGACCUUGGCACCAGGAUUCCUUUCUAAGAGACUGAGGUAUGGCAGUGAACCUGAAGAGGGGCCGACUGGCAGGCACGAGGAGAGACGUCAGUGAGACUCUGAACUUGCACCUGCCCGUGAGACUUGGAAACAAGAGUCCCUGCCUCCUGGAGUGACGUCGGGACAGUGAGGAGCAGAAACUGUAAAGUUCGGGAGAAACAGAAUCAAAUGUAAUACACUUUUACGGAUGGCCCUGCUAUGUGCCAAGCAAGGUGUCACAUCGUUUCAAAUGCUGCCUCAUUUAUCCUCACCUGACAGAUGAGAAUAAGGCUGUGGCAAGGGGUGCAAUAGCUCGCCCAGCUGGAAAGUGGCAGAGUCAUUUGCUGAUCUGCCUCAUUCUUGAAAAGGCUUUGACGCAACUCUUUGGAAAUGAACUUCUUCAGAGCCAUGUAGAGCUAAACUGCUUCCUCAGCGCAUCCUGUCCCAAAAGUUCUUUAAAGUCGAUUGGACCUCUCUUGAGAAAUUUGAUAACAAAUAUGCAUUGACACCUACUCUCUGUAAGGUAUUGAAUUGGAAGACAAUGAAAUAUACCUUCAAUCAACAUUUGUUGAGUUUCCACGAUAUGCUAGAAACUGUGCUAGGUACGUCAGAUACAAAUAUAAAAGGGCCUAAUAACCUUGUAGGGGAAGGUGGAACUGUGAAUGAACGCAUGCAGUUUUAGAAGGAUGAUCCGCAGCAGAGCAACACAAAGGAGUGACUUGAGGAAUGCUUUGGAGAGGUGGUAACGUUUAUUUGAGCUCGGCCUUGAAGUUAUUAGGAAGAGUUCUUCAGAUUGAAAAAUUGAGGAAAAUACAUUCUGUUUUGAAGGAGCUUCAUGUUUACCUUGACAAAGUGAAUAUGUUAUCGCCUUGGAAAGAGCCAUGAACAUGGGGUGACUAGUUGAGUGCUUUCAGGGUUCCCUGAGCCUCGCAGUGGAAAAUACUUCUUUAAGGUAGGGGCAGCUGUCUGCAGUCUUUAAGAAGUGAAUGGCUUCUAUUUCAGAAAGAAACUUCGGGCACCUGGGAGGAAGAAAGCCCGUUGUGACAGACUGGACACAAGGUGACCUGUAACCGAGCUGUGAAAAUCUUCUGGGCAAAAGAAAAUAAGGGUCAGAAUUAAGGCACUGAAGAUGUAAAGGAGGAAAUGGAAUGGAAAAAUAACUGGCAGGGAGAAUGAAUACUCUGUGACCAUAAGGGGGUGAAUGCAGAAAGUAUUUGUGGGUAACUCCCUGGGGUCUAGUUGGGAAGCUCAGCAAAGAAGAGAAAUUUUGAGUAAAGAUGAAAAAGUUAAUUUGGGAUGUGAUAGAAUUGUGGUGUCUUUAAGACCUACGAAUCGAGUUGGUCAACUCAUCCAACAGUUGGAGAUACUAAUCUGUAGCUCAAGGUAUAUAUGGGUAUAAUUUUAUCUUUCUAUGAGGCUUCAGAUGACUCUUGAUUAUCUAGCAGUGUCUUAGGGGUCAGUAUACUUCACAUUGUGUUGCUUGACCAUAAAUGUAUAGAAAUGCAGGUUGUAGAGAGCUAUGUUGAAUAGAAAGCUGAAUACAAACCAUUAACUAUAUAUACUAACAUGUACCUUGCCCAGAAACAGUGCACAGGGAAAAGCAAGCAAACAAACAAACAAAAAAUAUAUAUAUAUAUAUAAAAUAAAUAAGUAAAGAAAGAAAAAGAAAGACACGACCCUUGCUCAAGGAGCUUAUUAUCUUAAGCCUACAGAAGAUAUGACAAGUGGUCAGAUUACCUGUGCUAGGAUUCUGGACCUUGCAUUUGCUAUAUGACCUUGGGCAAGUUAGGUGACUUUGUAGAGCUUGGAUUCUCUCAUUUGUAAAAUCGUAUUUGUAGAAUAUUAGCAUCUUCCUCAUUAAGGAGUUAUAAGUAUUAGCCAAACAAAAAUUGAUUUCCUGUAUUUUGAAUGUAUAAAAUAAUCUUUUUUUAGGAAAUAAUGUAUGCAUUGUGAUCUAUUUAAUAAAUUUCACUAUUGCUUUAUUUGAUUUCCAGUUAAUGCCAAAUAAUAACCUAUCUAUUUGAGUUGCAAAAAUCAAGCUGGUUUGAAUUAAAGAAGUGUGAAAAAUUCUUGGGUUGGCAAAAUACGUAACACUUUCAUCAACUAAAAGUAGGUAAAAUGUGUUAAAAAUAAUGAAAAGUCCUCACUUUAAUUGAACCGGCUUUUUCAUGAGCCUAUAUUUUUAUGAAGCUUAAUGAAACAAAAAUUGAAAUGUGCCCAUUAUGAAAUCUGUGUUAAUUGUUUUUAUUUCCAUAAAGUUCACAUGAUUACAAAAAGUUUUGCAGUGAUGCCAGCUAGAAAUGCACAGUACCUGCCUUUCAUUUUCUCUGGAUUUAUUUUUGGUAAUAAGGACAAAUAUUCAUUUUGGCAAACAGCAUUUGCUAAAUUGAAAACUUCCUUUAAACACACUAGAAACUUUUGACCUAAGAUUGCCAAAAUUGCAGGGUAUUUUUGUCAGUCUGACAAAACUUUCUUUGUUCUUCCUCGCUUCAUCAAGAACAAGACUGUUUCUCCACUUACUGUUAUUCCAAUACGAUCACAAUCUUAAAUAUCUUUGGGCUAGAAGGCACUGCAAUAUUAAUUAAAAAUAUAGUCUAAUUAUUUACCCUCGUUGGUUCCUACAAACCUCUACAGUAUAAUCAGUGGACUCCCUUAAGGGGUUUCACGGUAUUUGGGAGUGAAAUAGGGAGGUUUGUGACUCACACUGGCUCACGAGUGUAAUUAAGUAGAACCUACAAUUCGCCUAUAGGUCACCGGAUCAAAUGUAACCUAUCUGGGCAAUGUCCAAAGGCAGGUGAUGAUGUUGACUGACCACUGCUGAGCAGCAUGCGUGAGUGGAAGUUUGAUUUUACUUCCAGGCAUCUCGGAGAACAUUCCGGGGGUUUCUGGAGACAAAGGGAAAGCAAGAGGGUGGCCAAAUAGGUCAUUUUAGACAGUUCUCAGGACAAAACUCCAUAAAGCCACCCGAGAACGGCUCAGCAGGCUGACUGGCAUUCUGUGACAAUCUCUCCCUACUUCUGGCCUAAGUGCUAGCCUAGAGAUGCAGAGAAAUAUUUUCUAGCUGUGAGAGGUGGGGUGUGAGUGCUCUUUGGUGCCUGGGGCUGAAUCAUCAGGGCAGAAUGCCUUCUGGAAGCAUCGCAGAGAGAUGUUUCUAGGCCCAGCAGGGUGGUCAGAUCUGUGUGUAAAACCCUAUAUCCUUGGGCUUACCUGGCAUUUUUUUUUUUAAAGAUUUUAUUUAUUUAUUGGAGAGAGAGAGAGUGAGAGAGAGCAUGAGAGGGGAAAGGGUCAGAGGGAGAAGCAGACUCC
Long non-coding RNA from Mirounga angustirostris (Northern elephant seal), 25554 nucleotides. RefSeq lists it as uncharacterized. The transcript has 13 exons. The record is from RefSeq and is a predicted model, not a curated record. Lineage: Eukaryota; Metazoa; Chordata; Mammalia; Carnivora; Phocidae.